CAGCCGCCGCGGUAAUACGAACCGUGCGAACGUUAUUCGGAAUUACUGGGCGUAAAGCGCGCGCAGGCGGAUCGGUCAGUCUGUCUUAAAAGUUCGGGGCUUAACCCCGUGAUGGGAUGGAAACUGCCAAUCUAGAGUAUCGGAGAGGAAAGUGGAAUUCCUAGUGUAGCGGUGAAAUGCGUAGAUAUUAGGAAGAACACCAGUGGCGAAGGCGACUUUCUGGACGAAAACUGACGCUGAGGCGCGAAAGCCAGGGGAGCGAACGGGAUUAGAUACCCGCGUAGUCCCUGUCUCUUAUACA
This 301-nucleotide ribosomal RNA is filed under the name uncultured bacterium. RNAcentral describes it as "partial 16S ribosomal RNA". It matches the Rfam family "Bacterial small subunit ribosomal RNA", at positions 509 to 809 of the family's 1533-position model. The record is from RNAcentral.